UCCUGCUUGUACAGGCAGUCUGUUUAGAGUGCCCGGCAUUACCCGGUAGCAACUAAACAUAAGGGUUGCGUUCGUUGCGGGACUUAACCCAACACCUCACGGCACGAACUGACGACAGCCAUGCAGCACCUGUGGUGCACCCUCGAAGGCUUCCCGCCUUUCAGCGGGCGUGCAGCACCAUGUCAAGCCCUGGUAAGGUUCUUCGCGUUGCAUCGAAUUAAGCCACAUGCUCCUCCGCUUGUGCGGGCCCCCGUCAAUUUCUUUGAGUUUUAACCUUGCGGCCGUACUCCCCAGGCGGUACACUUAACGCGUUAGCUCCGGUACGGAAGGGGUCAAAUCCUCCCACACCAAGUGUACACCGUUUACAGUUGGGACUAC
This 378-nucleotide unclassified non-coding RNA is filed under the name uncultured Kiritimatiellota bacterium. RNAcentral's name for it is "uncultured Kiritimatiellaeota bacterium contains 16S-23S intergenic spacer region". The record is from RNAcentral. Lineage: Bacteria; Pseudomonadati; Kiritimatiellota.